Molecule: ribosomal RNA, 497 nt
Filed under: uncultured bacterium
Lineage: Bacteria
Description: partial 16S ribosomal RNA
Rfam family: Bacterial small subunit ribosomal RNA
Source: RNAcentral
GAUGAACGCUGGCGGCGUGCCUAAUACAUGCAAGUCGAGCGAACGGACGAGAAGCUUGCUUCUCUGAUGUUAGCGGCGGACGGGUGAGUAACACGUGGAUAACCUACCUAUAAGACUGGGAUAACUUCGGGAAGCCGGAGCUAAUACCGGAUGAUAUUUUGAACCGCAUGGUUCAAAAGUGAAAGACGGUCUUGCUGUCACUUAUAGAUGGAUCCGCGCUGCAUUAGCUAGUUGGUAAGGUAACGGCUUACCAAGGCAACGAUGCAUAGCCGACCUGAGAGGGUGAUCGGCCACACUGGAACUGAGACACGGUCCAGACUCCUACGGGAGGCAGCAGUAGGGAAUCUUCCGCAAUGGGCGAAAGCCUGACGGAGCAACGCCGCGUGAGUGAUGAAGGCCUUCGGAUCGUAAAACUCUGUUAUUAGGGAAGAACAUAUGUGUAAGUAACUGUGCACAUCUUGACGGUACCUAAUCAGAAAGCCACGGCUAACUACGUG